UGCGGCGCGGGAGGCCAAGGUCCACGGCCUCGCUGCUGCCCGGAACCCCUACGCGGCGCAGAUCUACGACGCAUAUGAGGAUGACCACUGGGUGCACCUAGUGGUGGAGCUCCUCGACGGCCCCGACCUCUGCGACCGGAUCGCCGCCCGCGGGGGGACACCGUUCCCCGAGCCGGAAGCGGCAGCUGUGGUGGAGGCGCUUGCGGAGGCCCUAGCUGGCUGCCACCGACGGGGGGUAGCGCACCGGGACGUGAAGCCGGACAACGUGCUCUUCGACGCGCUGGGCCACCUCAAGCUGGCCGACUUCGGGUCAGCUCAGUGCUUCCUCGAUGCAGACGGGGAAUGGGCGCCGAUGAGUGGGCUGGUGGGAACACCGUGGUACGUGGCGCCGGAGGUGGUGGCGGGUCGGGAGUACGGGGAGAAGGUGGACGUGUGGAGCGUGGGGGUGGUGAUGUACAUGAUGCUUUCCGGCGGAGCGCCCCCGUUCUACGGGGACACAGCGGCGGAGACCUUCGAGGCGGUGGCCAGGGCCAACCUGAGGUUCCCGUCGAGGGUUUUCCGCUCGUUGUCGCCGGCGGCCAAGGACCUGAUGCGGCGGAUGCUCUGCAGGGACGUCGCAAGAAGGUUUUCCGCCGAACAAAUCCUCGGUAAGUUGUACUGUUCAUCUCGAUCGAUUCUAUCCCAUUUGAUUUCAGUAUCAGACGGUCUUGUUGUUCGAUCCUAUUGUUGAUUUCUUUGAUUCUGCAUCUUUCUUUUCGCCAAGAACUCAUUUCUUUAUUCAGAUAUAGGGAUUUUAACGUAGUGACGAUUCUUUGUUGAUAACCAGGGCAUCCUUGGAUUUUAAGUGGAGGGAUGAGUCCGGUGGAGGGACCAAGCCGGGAUCCAUCACUGUCCAUGGAGAGCCCGGAAGGCUCGCUGCUUGGGCUCUGCGCAUAGCGCAUACCGUGUACGAAUACGGCAUAUUUUGUUUUCUUCGACAGUCACUUUCGUUCGAAGAAGGUUUUAGAACCGAUGAGAUAAGAGAUGAUGAGUUUUCCUCCACCGGAGUGUACAUAAAAAUGUAAAGCCUCCCCAUCCCUCGUGGGAUGUUCCUUCUACUCGUCUGUUUGACUCGUUGGCGUGGAGAUGUAUGAAGAGGAAGAAGAUAUGUGAGAAUUUGCAUCUUUUGUAUCUGCUUGUAUAAAAAUUAAGUGUAUCCUUUCCUACCUGAUAGCUGCGGUCUCUUAUUUCCUCCCGUCUCUGCAUUCGUAUGUGUCAUGUUGUCCCGUUGGUUGUCGUUGGGCCCUUUGUUUACUCUCAAUAAUUCUGCUGUCGACUUACGACACACCGCAACAGAAAAGUGACUUCCCCCUACCCCGCAUCGUCUAUCAAUGCAUUGUUAAUGACGGCUCCGCGCAAGAUUCUCACGUCAAAUCAUGACGGGCUGGCACGGCGCAUGCGUUUCCUGUGGCAGUCCACAGGCGGUCUCCAUUCAAAGCCUCGUCGCAUUGACACAUUCGCAUUAGGAUUAUUUUUGGGAAUCGAUAUUAAACCGUGAUUAUUGAAUUGGGUUGCAGUUGAACGACUAAACUAUUAGUGGAACAGAUCUCAAGCCCACAGUAUAGUCUCCAAAACCAGAUGCUGCAGAGUGUCUGCCGCAUGCAAUUGGGACUCCUGCUUCUUGUCUGGCAGUGGAAAUUGCAUGUGCCUUGCUUUCUCAGUGGCUCAUAAUGCAGAUAGCACCUCACGGGAGGAUGACAUCAAUGUGGAUUUGCCUUGCCCAUGCCGUUCUGUCGAGUGGAGACAAAGGAGAGCACAUGGUGGUGUUCCGCAGUACCUGCUGCCUCAAACUGCCAAACUGUCGAACAGAUACCAUCCCAAAGUACUCAAGAUAAGGACCUGUGGUUAUAUAUUAAAUAAUAAGUAAAAAAUAAUAAUUGAAUUAUUAUGAAAAAUAAUUCAUAUUAAAGGUCUAGUCCAAUGUUGAGAACUCAUGAGUUUUAGUGGGGUCUGAUGUGGACCACUUUUGAUGCAGUGGUGAGUUGCGUGAAACACUCGAAUUGGAGGAAUCAAUGAUAUGGUGACUGUCGGAGCACGCGUUGUACCACCAUUCACGCACGGUUUCAUUUUAGUGGCGGAUGAUGGCUUAUCCACCAUGAGGUGAAGUCCUACUGGGGGUAAGAUCAUGAAUCCCACGCAUCCGGCACUUGUAGCAAGUUAGAUCAUCACGAGUUGCUUAUCCUAGAAAUCAAACCGUGUUCUACUUCAGUGCUUCAAUCCACAGUUGGGAAGGUCCAGAUGAUUCCUGUGGAGUAUGUGUCAUGAUUCAUGCCCCCAUUAUUGCAAGCUCGAAUGAGAAGAACUUGGUGAUAUGCUAUCAUCAUAUGAUGCAAUACCACUCUUUCUCCAUCUCAUCCCUUCCAGGUGGUGGCGGAAUCCUCUCACACAUUCACACUACUUGCUCCAUAAACAAGCAUAUCUCGUUCCUUCUUCUUCGUUCUACAUACGUCAACAUCUUCUUCCGGAUAAAUUCAUGCCACCGAUAUCUGCAAAAAAAUAGUUUUGCCCCAUUGAUUUCUUGCAUCUGUAACCCAAUCUGUCCAUGUUUACUCUUUCCUCCAUCUCACUGGUUAUGCUGAACCGAUGACAUCAGUGAUCACGCUCACAAAGGUCGUAUUAUAAAGAAAGCGAUAUGGAAGAAAAGUUCGUGUCCUCAUGCGUCAAAAUCACUGGAGCUGCUCCUCACAGUGCAUGGAUAAUGCAGGCAACAAUUAUUUGACAAGAACUGUUUUCUGUAUUGAAUUGUACUACAACUCCAAAUCACCUUAUUUUGUUUGACUAAACCAAUAAUUGCAUUUGUUGUAGCAUAUCUAUAAAAUCUUAAUUUUUAUUGGGGGUAAAUAAGUUAAUUUAUUUCUUUCCGAUCUUAUCUUUAUAUCCACAACUUUUAUGUGAUUGCUAUGAACAGCUUUUAUAUAUAUAUAUAUAUAUAUAUAUAUAUAUAUAUAUAUAUAUAUAUCUUUGUUUUAUGCAUUGUCCUAAUGCCAACAGGAAAAUGUGAAGCAAUGUAAUCAGGAAAUGGCUUGCCACCUCACAGUAAAUUGCAAGGAUGCGGAUGAAAGCUAAGCAAAAAUGGUCAAUGAAUAGACUGGACACAAAUUUCAACCACACAUUCUUAGUCUUAUUAAGUAAUUAAUUGAUGAAUAUUCAUAACUCAUGCAUCUGCUUAAGUAUUUAUUUAACGUGAAGUAUGAAUGGCUUAAUGUUGUCAAGCUGUUAAAAUUUUUACUAUUUAAUGAGUUAUUUAAUUAUGAUGAAUCUUGUAUUUAAAGUAUUAAUUUUUUUUAUUGAUAUGUGAUGUUAUUAUUUUAUUAUUUCAUGUAUUGUGAAAUAGUUAAAUGAUUUAUUAUUUUAUUAUUUUCCAUGUAUCAAAAAUCAUGAAUCAUGUAUUGGUUUUUCUUAAUGAUGCAUAAUAAUACAGUGUUGACAUGAGACAUAUGUGAUUGAGUAUUAAUAUUUAUUAUAUAUAAUUUUAAUUUUAGGUUAGAAUCUUGAUAGUUUUCUUAUCAUAGGUUUACAUCUCAUUGAUAAAUUUAUGAUUUGACAUAUGGGAUGACAUUUAAGUCGAUCAAGGACGAUGUCUCUAGGAUAAGAUUGGUUCUCUUGAUUUAUUUGAGUUUCAUAAUAAUUUUUAUUUUUAAUUUGAAUAAAAAUAUGUAUAUAAUACGACAUAUAAUAUGAAAAGUAGAUAAAAGAAUAUAUAAAAGAGAAAUAUGUAUGAUGUUUGAUAUGAUUUUGAUCCAACUUAUCUGACAUACAUUAAAUAUGGUGUAUUAUUUAUUUGAAUAUUAUUAUUUUAUUAUGUAUAAUUUGAGUAAGUAUUGGAAUAAGUAUGUAUUAUGUAUUAUUUAUAUGAUUAUUUUUUAUGGUAUCAGUAUAUGAUCAAUAUAUAAUAAUUAUGAAUCAUUUAUUAUGAAUAUACUUGUGGUUUACAAGACACAUUAGUAAAUCCUUUUUGUUGGUGUAUAGUCCAUUAUUAUACUUAUUCAUAUUGAUUCAAUGUAUUAUUAUUAGAUUAUAUGAUCUUAUUUAAUUAGAUAAGAUAUAUUAUAGAUAUAAUUAGAUUUUAAUUAUAACUAUCUGUCAAUAAAAAAAAUUAAUUAUAGUAGAAUUUUUUAGAAGAUGAUCUUGAUGGGAGAGACUCUCCUAAUUGUUAUCCUAGACCAUCUGCUCUCACAUAUAAAAAUAUACAAUAUACUAGGGAUGAAAUACUAGAAAUUAAUAUUAUAGAUUUAUUUUGAAUCUCCUUUAGCCUUUAUUUUAUCACUCAAAGUAAGUGAUAUCGCUAUUUGUUUUCGAUUUUUACAUUAAAGUUCUUAAUAUAAUAAUGGUAUAAUUAUAAUUUUAUGAUACAAUUAGUGUUAAAACAUUAUUCGUAUUAAAUUGAUAGACUACUAUUGAUAACUUGUUGUCCAUGUCAAUAUUAUUAUUGAGGACGAUAGCCUCCGAUGGUCAUCAGCCUAGUCAUGAGUAGUAAUUAUGUAUAGGUACUUCAGCAUCACAAGGUGUGACAAUUGAUGAUGGUUAUAUGCAAUAAUUGUAUAAGUGUAAUCCCACAUUAUACAUCAUAAUAUAUAUGUGCUAUUUCACACUGUAUAUCAUAAUAUAUAUGUGUACUCCUACACCACAUGCCAAAAUACAUAUAUGUACUUUCACACUACAUGUUAUAGUAUAUAUAUAUAUAUAUUAUAUCGUAAUAUAUUCGUAUACUUUCAUACUGUAUAUGAUAAAAAACACGUGUACUCCUAUACCACACAUCAUCAUAUAUAUACAUAUAAGAUAUUUUUAUUAUAAUUCAUAUAUUUUUAUAUUUAUAUAAUAUAUACAUUUACAUUUAGGUCAUGACUAGAUCAUGAUGAUCAUAUCUAUCAAAAUAUACUUUCCAAAAUAUAUUACGCAUACAAUAAUUUAUACAACCACUAUUAAAAUAUGAAAAGCCAUAAUUAAGAAUCCUACCUCUCAAAUUAUUGAUUUAUAAUCAUUCUUAGCAGUAAUUUAUAGAAAAAGUUUGAUAACAUUUCUUACAAAUAAAAUAUAUUCAAUCUAAAAAAUUAUCUAAAUUUCAUCAUCAAUUUUUAACAAUUCACUCUAUAAAUAAAUAAACUAGUUAGUAACAAUCAAACUAUCGCACAAUUCUAUGAAAAAAAUUUUCUUUGCUAUUCUAGUUUACUAAACAAUCUUGAAUUAUUAAAAAAAUUUGUAGAAGACUAGGAGAUAUAUAAAACUAAGUACAUACCAAAAUUUAACUUAAAAUCAAAUUAUUUAGAGGCUAAACUACCCUCUUAAUUCAACUAUCAAUAAUUGUUCUAUAAUUGUUCUAUUCUAUCGAAAUUGGGUUGGGACUAUAUAAACUUAUAGACCUCAUAUCUUGGUGCACAGAGGUAGUAUUCACUCAAUUCUAAAUCUCAUAAGACUCUAAGGGAACCUUUUAAAAUAUAUUAAAAGAUCAAAACCUAAUCAUAUCCCUAAAAGAGCUAAUUUAACUUAAAUAGAACUUCUUCUUAGAAAAUAGGGGAUUCUGAGUAUCUUAGAUUAGGACAAUAAUAACUCUAUGCACUAAUUUCAAACUAAGAUCAUACUAAAGACUUUAGAAUCAUAAGAGAAUUAUACAAAAUAUAUCCAAAAAUUAAAAAUAAAUUCAAAGUCUAACUUACUCAAAAGCAAUUGAAAAAAUUAGCCUAUAAUUUAUCUAUAAAACUGAAACCCUAAGUAUAGUAAAGGAAAAAUUAGAUUUUCUUACUUCAAUCUUCCUUAAAAAUAUGGUUUCUUAGCUUUUACAAAAAAAAAAGCUAAAAGAAUAGCUGAAGAAGAAGAGAAAAGGACAUGGGUUAUUAGGGAGGUAAAGAGGAUGAGAUCGAAUUAAAGUAGAGAUACUUGACAGAUUGUCUUCAAGUCAAGAGUUCAAUUUCAUUGGAUCUCAUUUCAAGUUUUUUUUCUUUUCUUUUCUUUUUUUAUUAAUAUAAUUCCAAUGUUGUAGUGCCUUUUAUUAAGCUCAAUGUGGUCUAACAAAGAUAAUAUUUUUGGUUUAAAUUCAUCAUUCAAUCUGACUUAUGUAUCUCAAUAUUUACUAUAACACUCUUCUUUGAUUUGUAUCUCUAUUUAUUUUUUUAUUACUCCAUCCAUACUUAAGUAGCUUAUGAUCCUCUAUAUAUAUAAUGUUUAAAAUAUAAACUUUCUUAUAUUAAUUAUGAUCAAACUUAUUCAAGUCUUAAAAUUCACUUAAGGCCAAUUAAAAUUUAAUUAUCACUUCUAGUCAUUAUAUGCAUACUUAUUAUCAUAAUUUAACCUCAUAUUCAAGUUUGGUUAAUGUAAACAUCAAUGCUUAUUAUUACACUAUGCUUAAUGUAAACAUCAAUGCUUAUACAUACUCAACCAAUAUUUUGUAGAAUACUAAGAAUAAUAUUUUUAGAAAGUAUGUACUUUAAUCUUAAAGUCCGAAAAUAUGAGCGUGCUAUUUAUCAUAUUUAUGAAGCAUAGGCCUUACAAAUUAUAUUACUAAGUGAGGGUAACAUAUACAUAUCAUUUAUACUUCUAUUAGUAUACUAGUUAUAGAUCAAAAUGUAUAAGACUCGGCACUACAGAGGGCCUCGAUUUGCAUAUGAUCCAACCCGUUUUACAUCGACUUGAUGGGAUUUACAUGUCUCUAGAAAGAGAUAUAGUUUAUUAGUUGAUAAGGAUUUAUAUAAAAAUCAUGAUUUUCUAGAUAAUAUGACGUCUCUACUUCCAUAUGGUCUUGAAGGAUCAGAAAGAACAGUUAGGGCCUCCAUUUGCAUCCGAUUUGACCCAUUUUGCAUUAACUUAUAAGAUUUACAUAUCUCCAUAAAGCAAUAUAGUUUAUUAGUUGAUUAGGAUUUAAAUGCAAAUCAUGAUUUUCUAGAUAAGAUGAUAUCUCCACUUUCACAUGGUCUCGAAUAAUAAAAAGCAAUGGCUUUUUAAGUGCCUCCAUUUGUGUUCUAUCUUACCUAUUUUCCACUGACUUGAUGAGACUUAUGUGCUUCCACAAAGAAAAUUAGUUUAUCAUUUGAUAAUGUUUUAAAUACAAAUCAUAGAUUUUUAGAUAAGAUAACAUGUCCACUUCCACAUGGAUUCGAAGAAUCAGAAGUAGUGAUUCUUUAAGUGGACAAUGAAAGCCACUUUUAUUGUACUUUACUGGUCCGGAAUGACCGAAAGAAACGUUCUUCCAAAUGGUUGGCUUCUUAUCUUCCACAAUCAUAGCCAGUGCUAUAGCCAAACUAUUGCACUGCUAAAUCUGAUUCUUCUUCAUAAUAAUUACUAAGGCGGAUUCAUGAUUUGGAAGUUGAUGAAGAAAAGAUGGCCAAUAUGUAUGGUGAUCAGUCCUUGAUGCUAUAAUAGUUUGAGAUGUCAGAUUCAAGUUCCUCGAGCUGAAGAAAACACAAUGGAUAAGCCAAAGGAACUGUGAGGAAUAAGUUCCUUCCCUGACUCUCUCUCUCUCUCUCUCUCUCCCUCUCAAAUCCCAACAUCAUAAUCUUAUCUGAACUCAGAAAACUAAAGGAUAAACAAACAGCUCAAGGAAUGCAUCAUUGGGCAGGCGUAGAGUAGAUGUGCUGAUAGAGGUAAGAAAGGUCGGGAGCAGAAAUGAUGGCUGCAGGCGUGAGUGUGCUCCAACACGAUGGCUUUGGGGCUUUGGUAUCUGGCCGUUCCAUUUCAUGGCCCCUCCAUAUCCUGCUUGUUUGGAACGACAUAGAAAAGCUCCACAGAUCGGUGCAGAUAUUUGGGACCUUAUCACGUGCCCCUGCCACCGUGUUACAACGACUAUGUCUUGAAGGAAUAAUUGUCCUUGGUUUGGCUGCCGGAUGAAAGCAACGCUCUCUAUUCUGCCACAGAUCGGUGCACAAUAGAGUGCAGGAAGGAGCUCAUUUAUCUUGCGUGAUAGAGUGUGUGUGUCAAGUUGUAUAUUUUUAGUUAAAAUAUUAUAAGAAAAAAAAAAAGCAAGAAAAAGAAUAUGGAAUGAGAAAGUCAAAAUAUUUUGAUCGAGUCCAGCCUUUAUUGGACUUUUAAAGCAGAUCAACUUCGACACGAAUCUCAAAGAUCCUGACAUGACAUGAUCUAUUUUUAAUUCAAUUGUUGGACACGAUAAGCCACCGUGCCUAUUAUUUCUCCAACAAUGGGGGGAGCCGCGGGCAGCCCAUCCGGAACGGUCAAACGACAACCGCUUAUCACCUACGCGAACACGAUAACUCAGUGGAAAUCGCAGUCCACUUCACGCCUCGCCCAGUCCCUUUCUUCCUUAUUUAAUACGGCAAUCGAAGAAGUACAGUUCGAUCGUCGACCUGCUCUCCCAUUGGUUCUUGUCUCCAAGCUUUUUACACGUGUAAUCUUCCAAUUGGUUUGCUAUCCCAAUUGUACGUCUGCCGACAGGGACGGCCGAAAUAACGUUUCCUUUUCCCGGUCCCCAGCCUGGACCUAUUCAAGCAACAGCUGACCGUCCAUUGCGGCGCAUUAUUGGCGAACCAUCCGAUCCGACGGUGCCGGUUGGUGAGGUGAUCACCGAAAGAGUCCAAAUCACCCAAUUGAAACGGUGGGCCCAGUGCCACGGCUCAAUAAUAAUCGAGUGCCAGCUAAUAACCACUAUAAUAACCCCAUAGUUCCUAAAGCAUCCGGCGAAGUUGAAUCAGACGGCCCCAAUUCACUCUUCGAUUCAUUAAAGAGCAUAAAUUAACUUAGUGUAUAGGGUAGGCUCCAUCCGUCGCCUUAAACAGAGCAUAACAAUAAAUAAACUACUGGAACCUUACCGAACACAAAAACUAAGAAUGCAAUAGCUUAUCUAUGGAUAAGUUGCUUUGUCCGCUCCACCUGAGGUCAGUAAUUAUGUGAUGGGAGAAGAGGAUGCCGUCGGCCCGAAGAAAACAUAGAAGUUAAGAUUCUGUUCAACCGUCCGAUUAGAAGAACCAUGGAAUCCGCCGUCCGGGUCGUGGGGUUUCUCUAUCUAUCUAUAAAUAUUCCAAGCGACACCGGAAUUCAAUGGCAAAAGAGGGAGGUGGUGAGAGAGUGGAGAGGGGAAUUCUAGAUUGUUCAGAUCGGAUCGACGCGCUAUGGGCGAGGCAUUGACGAGGGACUACGAGAUCGGGGGCGAGAUCGGGCGGGGGCGCUUUGGGGUAGUGCGGCGGUGUCGGUCGGUGGCCACGGGGGAGGAGUUUGCGGUGAAGUCGGUCGAUAAGCGGCUCCUCGCGGACUCCGUCGACCGCGAGUGUGCGGCGCGGGAGGCCAAGGUCCACGGCGUCGCUGCUGCCGGAAACCCCUACGCGACGCAGAUCCACGACGCAUACGAGGAUGACCACUGGGUGCACCUAGUGGUGGAACUCCUAGAGGGCCCCGACCUCUGCGACCGGAUCGCCGCCCGCGGGGGGACGCCGUUCCCCGAGCCGGAGGCGGCAGCUGUGGUGGAGGCGCUUGCGGAGGCCCUAGCUGGCUGCCA
Molecule: long non-coding RNA, 9475 nt
Filed under: Musa acuminata (dwarf banana)
Lineage: Eukaryota; Viridiplantae; Streptophyta; Magnoliopsida; Zingiberales; Musaceae
Description: long non-coding RNA (MACU_LNC002368)
Source: RNAcentral